AACGGCCGUACCAUGCUGAAUAUACCGGUUCUCGUUAGAUCACCGAAGUCAAGCAUCAUUGGGCACGGUCAGUACUUGGGUGGGUGACCACCUGGGAACACCGCGUGCCGUU
Molecule: non-coding RNA, 112 nt
Organism: Caerostris darwini
Lineage: Eukaryota; Metazoa; Arthropoda; Arachnida; Araneae; Araneidae
Source: the annotation of a GenBank genome assembly